This 388-nucleotide ribosomal RNA is filed under the name uncultured bacterium. RNAcentral describes it as "bacterial SSU rRNA". It matches the Rfam family "Bacterial small subunit ribosomal RNA", at positions 29 to 418 of the family's 1533-position model. The record is from RNAcentral.
AUUAAACGCUGGCGGCAUGCCUUACACAUGCAAGUCGAACGGCAGCACGGGGGCAACCCUGGUGGCGAGUGGCGGACGGGUGAGUAAUACAUCGGAACGUGCCCUGGAGUGGGGGGAUAACGCAGCGAAAGCUACGCUAAUACCGCAUAUUCUGUGAGCAGGAAAGCAGGGGAUCGCAAGACCUUGCGCUUUGGGAGCGGCCGAUGUCGGAUUAGCUAGUUGGUGGGGUAAAGGCCUACCAAGGCGACGAUCCGUAGCGGGUCUGAGAGGAUGAUCCGCCACACUGGGACUGAGACACGGCCCAGACUCCUACGGGAGGCAGCAGUGGGGAAUUUUGGACAAUGGCGGAAGCCUGAUCCAGCCAUGCCGCGUGAGUGAAGAAGGCCUC